GAUACCUUUUAUAUUGUUUAAAAUUCCACUUUUUCACUCUUUUUUUAUAUCUAAUAAAUUUUUACCUUAUACUUGUAACCUUUGUCGUUAAGUAGUUUUGCGUUAAAGAAGUUCAAACAUACAUCCAUACAUCCAGACAUCCAGACUUAUAAACUUUCACAUUUAUAAUAUAAGUAGGAUAGCAUUUUAUUAAUAUUAAAGGUAAAGGUUUAUUAAAUAAAUUUUUUAGUUAUUUGAUA
Leptidea sinapis is the source of this 239-nucleotide long non-coding RNA. RefSeq lists it as uncharacterized. The record is from RefSeq and is a predicted model, not a curated record. NCBI's taxonomy places the organism in Eukaryota, Metazoa, Arthropoda, Insecta, Lepidoptera, Pieridae. The transcript is spliced from 2 exons.